UGGGGAAUUUUGGACAAUGGGGGAAACCCUGAUCCAGCCAUCCCGCGUGUGCGAUGAAGGCCUUCGGGUUGUAAAGCACUUUUGGCAGGAAAGAAACGUCGCGGGUUAAUACCCCGCGAAACUGACGGUACCUGCAGAAUAAGCACCGGCUAACUACGUGCCAGCAGCCGCGGUAAUACGUAGGGUGCAAGCGUUAAUCGGAAUUACUGGGCGUAAAGCGUGCGCAGGCGGUUCGGAAAGAAAGAUGUGAAAUCCCAGAGCUUAACUUUGGAACUGCAUUUUUAACUACCGGGCUAGAGUGUGUCAGAGGGAGGUGGAAUUCCGCGUGUAGCAGUGAAAUGCGUAGAUAUGCGGAGGAACACCGAUGGCGAAGGCAGCCUCCUGGGAUAACACUGACGCUCAUGCACGAAAGCGUGGGGAGCAAACAGGAUUAGAUACCCUGGUAGUCCACGCCCUAAACGAUGUCAACUAGCUGUUGGGGCCUUCGGGCCUUGGUAGCGCAGCUAACGCGUGAAGUUGACCGCCUGGGAGUACGGUCGCAAGAUU
RNAcentral lists this ribosomal RNA (546 nucleotides) under uncultured bacterium. Its description in RNAcentral is "partial 16S ribosomal RNA". It matches the Rfam family "Bacterial small subunit ribosomal RNA", at positions 355 to 895 of the family's 1533-position model. The record is from RNAcentral.